CCUACGGGAUGCAGCAGUGAGGAAUAUUGGUCAAUGGACGAGAGUCUGAACCAGCCAAGUAGCGUGAAGGAUGACUGCCCUAUGGGUUGUAAACUUCUUUUAUAUGGGAAUAAAACGUUCCACGUGUGGGAUUUUGUAUGUACCAUAUGAAUAAGGAUCGGCUAACUCCGUGCCAGCAGCCGCGGUAAUACUGAGGAUACGCGCGUUAUCCGGAUUUAUUGGGGUUAAAGGGAGCGUAGGUGGCUUGUUAAGUCAGUUGUGAAAGUUUGCGGCUCAACCGUAAAAUUGCAGUUGAAACUGGCAGUCUUGAGUACAGGAGAGGUGGGCGGAAUUCGUGGUGUAGCGGUGAAAUGCUUAGAUAUCACGAAGAACUCCGAUUGCGAAGGCAGUUCACUGGACUGCAACUGACACUGAGGCUCGAAAGUGUGGGUAUCAAACAGGAUUAGAUACCCUGGUAGUC
RNAcentral lists this ribosomal RNA (460 nucleotides) under uncultured bacterium. RNAcentral describes it as "partial 16S ribosomal RNA". It matches the Rfam family "Bacterial small subunit ribosomal RNA", at positions 338 to 795 of the family's 1533-position model. The record is from RNAcentral.